GUUCGGGGUGGUGAUGGAAGCGUUGACCCCGGCGCCCUCCAGAGUCACGAUGGGAACUGCUGUGCCACGAUCGUUCACGUUGAAAUAAAGCUUGCGGCCGGGGUUAAGGGUGUUGACCUGAAAUGUGCGUGUGAGGGAGAAAAAGGGUACACCAAGUUUUCUAGAGAAGCAGCCACAUCAUGUAGAGAUAUCCCUUUUCCGAGGAACAAAAACAACCAUGACACGGCAACACUACGAGCGGAGUGAAUCCUGAAAAAUGCCAAGGCCACAUCACACUAAGCUCAGACUCAACAGUGCAGAGAGGCUGUGCAGUGCCAGUGAUGAAGUGAAGUGACUCUUUUGCAAGGCGGAGGAUGCAGCACACCAACAGAAUGACUCAUCACCGACUGGGAACAAAGCGCCUAAUAUUUCCACAGACCUAGUACAUAUAUGUAGACAGGUAACUCGAUUGACGCGAGUUUGGUUUACGCAUUUUUGAAAUAACGCGGGGUCGAAAAUCCAAAUAAAUGUUUAAUUUACACGUUUUUUCACUUAUACAUGAUAUUUUAUGGAGUGGUCACCAGAUGUCUCACGCAACUGGACUCACAUGGCGCUCUCUCUCUCUCUCUCUCUCUCUCUCUCCACUGAAUGAAGUGAAUAUUUAUUUUUCAAUAGAAACCUACCUUUUGUUUGAUUUACAUUGUUUUUGAUUUACGCGACCUCUUCAAGGACACAAUACUCGCGUAAAUCGAGAGUUACCUGUUCAUAUAUAUACAGUAAAACCCUUAUAACUCGACACUGCAUAACUCAAAAUUUGAUGUAACUCGGCAAGGCUGGAGCCCCUAUCAUGCUGAGUUGUAAGGGUUUUACUAUACCACCAAUAUACUGGCUCCCUUCCUUCCAAAGCUUUGCCAGGGUAACCAUUUUGCCAGACCGGUUGAGGUCACACAAUGAUUAUAGUAAUUCACUGACAUGCCGGCAGGGAAUGAGACCACCACACACAUCCCAACUUGAUGAUGACAAUUUCUCCCGGCACAUAACUGACUGCUAUGCUUUGAGACCACAUACACUUGGCUCUAGUCACCUAAACAGAUAAUGGGACUCAGAAAUGUAAGGUUAACCCAUCCACUGCGAUUGGUACAAGUUGGGCUUUCACUGGCAACCUGGAAACAUAUACUCCCAGGUCUUUUUCUGCCUCUGUGGUGGAUAGUGGAGUGUUUCCCAUGUGGUAUUGGUAUCCUGGAUAUCCCCUCCCCAUGUGCAUGACUUUACAUUCUUCUUCACUGAAUUGUAGCAGCCACUUUUUGAUCCAUUCCUGCAGUUCGGUGAGGUCUUCUUGUAGGAAAUCCACAUUCAAGGGGUUAAUUACACAACCUCCCUGAGCUCCUCACAUGGCCAUCUUCUUUGAUGCUGCCAGAACCAAAAAUACAUCUACCAGCACAUCACAGUGAGGAAAACAAAACCCAAGAGCAAUGAUUCAUGAGCGCCAACAGUGAAAUACUGCCGCUGUUGUCUGCCCAAGCCAAGUAUUCCUCGGGCACCUGGACUACGCUUCCCAGGGCUCUCUGGAGUGGCCGAAUUUUUCUCUCUCUCUCUUGGAGGUUGUCUGUCAGUCACACACGCUCCCACGCUGCAUGUUCUGUGAUGUUUGCCUCAACUAUACUCUAAUACAAGGGACAGUUAGGAUUGGCACAGUGAGACUCAACAGUUAUUGUGGAACUCGCAUGCAUUGGUCUAAAUUCUGUAAAAUAAGACAAGAUAAAGAAAUCAUGACAAACAGAAUUAAAAAAAUGACUGAAAUGCUUAUACCACAUCUUACAUGUCAGCAAGUUAUUGAAAUGGUCCUGAAAGAAAUUAUUUCACUGUGUAAAGAAAAGCCUCAUGAACACAAUAGUACUAGUGUAGUAGAAACAGUAGUAGUAGUAGUAGUAGUAGUAGUUAUAGUACAUAAUAGAGGUAGUAGUAGUUAUAGUGGUACAAGUAGUAGUAGUAGUAGUAGUAGUAGUAGUAGUAGUAGUAGUAGUAGUAUCACAACUCACCCUACGAGGAAUUGUAUUUAGUAACAAAACAACAUUACAGUUUCAUGUGCGAACUUCCCAUCAGCUUUUUAGAGUUUAUGUAACAAAUUCAAUGUUUUAUACAAAAUGUCUAGAUUUAAUUCAAUAACAGUCUUGGGAAAUCUCUUUAGCACCAACAGGCUGAUCAGUGAGAGGUUUUUCAGCAAGAUUUCCACCAGACUGUUACCAGUUAUACCCCCUGCCUGCAAGACAACAAGCAACAAGCAGUGUGUUAUGUGCGAAUCGUUACCGAGGCGAUGACGCGGUAAAGUCUAUGGGCACCGCCAGCCACGUUUACAUUACCCCCUCCCGUGAUGGGCCGUGCACACCCCCGGGGUCAGCAGCACACGCCACAGCUCUCACUCAUACACUUAGCUUCACUUCUGAGUCUCUCCCUCAAUGAUCAAAAAGAUGAUGCCUCCACCAUGUGACAUGAUUAAAGUACAUGUUUAUAUCUGGUUCUUUCCUUUGAUGCACCGUCCAAAGGUUCAUUCUGCAUCACUGUGUUAGCCAUGCGUUGGCAGGACGAGUAAUGAGCACAAUAAUCGUCAUAAUGAGCACUUUCUUCUUUCCCUCAUGGCCACUCACUCCUCCCUGCUUCCUCAGUGUACAUCUGACUACACCUUGAUCAUAUCAUGUGUUAGUUUUGUAUUAGCAGCAGAAUGAGUGGAAAUUUAAGAUACUGUCGUGCUUGAGACUUCUCUCUUCAAGGUGAAAUGGUUUAUUCUUGUAUUGAUUCAAUAACUUGCAUGUGGUAAUGUGAUGUGUAGAAAGUGAUAUAAACAUUUAAGAACUGUUCUUCCAAUUAUACUUGUCAUCAUUUAUUUAUUUUUGUCUUACCCAAUUUGGGCAGAUGUAAAAAAGUUUAACAAUCACUGCUGAGUCUGUGGGGCCAACCACAACCAUCUGUAUUGUGUAACGGGUGACCUAAAACAAUGAUGUGGAAACAUGCAGCAUUAGGACGCGUGUGAUUGACAGACCCCUCAAGGAGAGCGAGAGAAAUCAAGCUAAUCAGGAGAGGCCUUGCUGCUCUGGUGCAAGCGGAACACUUUGUCUGAACAGACUGUUGUACUAGAUGAAGCACCGCUACAGUUGACAGUCCUCGGCAAAAAUAUUACUAUAACAAGGAGUUCCAAACAUGACACUGACACUGCUAAGGUGAUGUGCUUGCUUCUGUUUUACCAUAACAGUUGGGAAUGUUGACCAAAGGUUUUGUAGGAAGGAUUAACUCUUCAGUGACAUCCUUGGCUAUCACACAUGUUGCCUACAAGAAUGGUACAUUUAUAGUUUUGUGUCAUUAUUUAUUAAAGUUGAACUUUUGCCAAAGGCUGCUGAUGAUUAAUCCAGAUUAUGUGCUGUACUUUCACUGUGGCUGUUCCUUUCUCAUCCUUGACCUUGGCACACACCUGGAGUACAAACAUCUCUGCUACACGUGACAGCAGCAGGGAACUUGAACAAACCAAUUGAUAAUCAUGAGUUUAAAUGGGAUUCUCAUGCUAUGAAAGGGAAGUAAAUGUGAAGGCAACAUCAAUUCAUAUGGAAUUAUCAUAAAGCAUUUCAUAACUGCUAAACCUUUUCUCCAUCUAAGGAACCUUCUUUACAUCACUGCUUCUUUAUAUGAUUAGCUAAACCAAGGAAGGAGAAAACACAGCCUUUACGUCCUGGACACAGUUGUUUGACAAUCGGGGAAAUAUUCCCAAACCUCCAAAUUCUAGAAUGUGCAAUGACUCACUAGUGACGCAGCCAGCCUUGAUGAAUAAACCCUGGCCAGGAAUACAGUUAUCACCUCAGAAACAAAAUUAAAUUCUAUAAGGUCAAUGCAUUGCCCAAUAAUAUUCAAAUAAUGUUUGACACAUAUUCUGCUUUCCUUUGUUGUGGUCAGCCAGACUCAACCUUUAAACACAUGGCCGGCAACUUCCCACUGUGCCUCAUGUGAAAUUCAGCGGAUGUUUUGCUGGACUCAUCAUGCAUGUUGGACAAGCACCAGGACGACAAGGCCUCAUGACUACCUUCAAGCAGCUGUUGGCACCCAUCCAGCCUGAUAAAUUGCCAUUGCCAUUGCCAUUUUCAUGUAAUUGUUAAGGAAAUGUUUCCAGGUAGCCUUUUAAGUAUUUUGGGUCCUUCUGGAAGUUUUUCCAUUUGGAUAAUUUUUCUUCCUUUGCUCUUCUUGAAAAAAAUCAUGAUCUGCCGCUGGUAGUGUUCAGCUCCUCCCCCGCCCCUCCCAGUGCGGGCCAUCCCCCAACAGGCCUUCCACAGCACUGCUUCUCUCCCUUCCCAUGCAGCGUGAGGAACCCAAGAUAUUUAAACCACUUCUUGGACCCUCAAAAUACCUUGCAACUGAUGACUGCCUUCCUAAACUUACAAAGAGGAAAACAUUGUAGCAUACAAAUGUUUUACUUUGUAGAGGUAAGCAGCAGGACCUACUAAACAGACCUUUCUGAUUGAAGAUGACAAAUAUGAACACAUUAAAUAAUAAUUGAAAUGGGUGUUAAGUUAGUCACACUUGUAAACACUCCCUCAGUCACAUAUCCAUUCUGUAUCUCACUCCAGGUUAGUUCAUGCACAGCCGUGGCCGGGCGUGUUCCCUGCACCGCUGCCGGCCAGCACUCACCAGGGCCACUCAGCCCUUGUUCGCACCAACCCACUGCCCCGUCGUGGCCACGGGUAUAAGUUAGGCUUGAGGACUGAUAAUUGUGAACUUAAUUCAUUUCCUUCUGAACUGGUGAUGUCUGUCCAGUCGAUGGGAAAGAAUGCACACACGUUGUAGUAGAGAGACUGACGGUUGAUGGGACUCAUGUUAGUGUCUGCCGUGACUCACAGAAUUUUUUGUCACCCUGCAAGGUGGUCAGAUGAAGUUUUGAUGAAAAUAAUUUUCUAAAACAACAAGAAAAGCAUAUGCAUGCUGGGCACUAUUAUCUCUCAAUGAUCACCUUCGGGUUACUUAUACUCCUGUCGAUACUUGCUUCUCUAAAAAAACUGUGAAAAGCCAUCGUAAUCAGGCAAUGCAUUGUACCCUUGCACCACUCAAAUACUAAUUAGUAAAAGCCACACACUCAAAUACUAAUUAAUAAAAGCCAUAAAGUAUACAAGCCACAGUUUCAGCCACACAACAACCAAGUGUGAGAUGACAUGAUGUGGUGUGAAGCCCUGGAGCCGAGACUCUGCGGCCCCGUGUGAACAGUGACAACUUCCUUCUGUACAGUGAGUGAGUGUGUCAGGCACCACAUCAUGUUGACUACUGUUUAGAUGGUCAUGCUAAACUUUGGAAUUCAUUUAUUUCUCACUUGGAAACUGAGAUACACUCCAUGUUCUCUACAGAAAGACUGUGUCAGCCACAUCUUACUGACUAAUAAAAGCCUGACAAGCAUGCGUUAUACAGCAGAUGUGAGGAGGUGCAAGAAGAAACAAAAUAUUUUGUCUUCAAGGGUAGGCACAUCCUUCCUUCUCAUACUCACCAAAAGUUUCAAGUUGGAAGCAGUGGGUAGAGAGGAAAAAAAAACAAAGAAAAAUAAGAUAAAUAAGAUGCUCAAUACCCAAUGAAAUGUAAAUAAAUGUAUAUUUUCUUUUGUAUUUUUGCUAAGGAGCGCAUUUUCGCAUAGCCAAUGGAACGUCUGUCCUUUUGAUAUGAUGUCUGCUUUCUAGAAGGGGAGCCGAGGUGUUCGGACUGAUUGGCACGCCGCGGCACAAAGGUGGGUAUGAGGCGUGGCGGGCAGCAAAGAUGCUCUCGUGCUUGGCAGUGAUCGGCCCAAAUAUGUUUGAAAUUUCAUGAAGGAUCUAUGAACACAAAAAAAUCUAUUCUACAGGUAACAAAAAGAAAAAGGCUAAAUCUUAGACUGCUUCUGGUAAACAUCAUAUCAAAGGACAUGAGCUAUACAAAAUUACGCUAUCUAUGCUGCAAUGCUUACAGUUCAUUGUAGUGCAAUAUUAAAAAAAACUCAUAAAUUUAAAAAAGUAACUGAGUGACAAAAACAAAAGAAUAAAAUAGAAUAAAUAAGAGGACAAACUGAAUAUAGAAGACAGGAAACUUAAAAAAAUAACAUAACACAGGAAAUACACAGAAAGACAGGGAGAAAAAAGAGAAAACAAGAAGAAGAAAAACGUCUGAUCGCAUAGUGAAUUAAUAUAUAGAUACACAGUUGAUUUAUAAACGUAAAAGCUUUGGUAGUAGUAAUGUAGAAAAUAAAACAUGAACAAGGAAAAAAGAGUCCUCCAAGAGCCCACUCCACUCCUUCCAAGAGGGUGACAUGCUAACUUUGAAAUGUGAUGUUGGUUGACAGAUGUGGAAACCAAGAGAGAGGAGAGUCACCUGCUGCGACACACUCAUGACUUGCCUGAGAGGUUUGCAGGGCUUUGUCAGAUAUAUCAACCAAGGAGGGGAGGUAAACAAGGAGGAGGAGGAACGAAGCUAAAUUUCUGUGAUGUGCCUUAGUUUGAAAAUGUCCGAGAACGGGAACGCAAGACAAAGACAUAAGAGGAAACAAAAGAACUGGGAGAGAGGGGGGGAAAUGACUGAUAUAAUACACAUCAUCACCACAAACAAAUCCAAAAAAUGAGUGUACGACAUUAACACAACAAACUGUAUAUAUAUAAAGUAACAAAGUCAAAACACCGAACCAAACUAUCUCGGGAGUAUUACUGUACACAUUCUGCUAACAAUGACGUACAAGGAACUCAAGCAUUCUAAACCAAUGAGUCUUUCUGUGUCAUGCGGAUAAAUAUAUAUGGUUGACGUGACUACUAAAAGGUUCUACAGUUUAAAAGGGUCUUACAAUGAGAAUAAUAAAUAGUAUCUUAUAUAAUACCAAAUAGAGGACAUAAUCUGUAAAGAGUACCACACAGACUAGGUCAAUCGUUUACUGUAACACCCGGCUCACAGGGGGCAGGAUCCUGGUAUCAGAAUUAGGGUUAGAUAGCAUUAUUUAAGUCUCUCAAGGAAAUUUAUGAGUUGGUGACAAUUUCUCUCAAAGGAUCCCAAUAUGGCUAUGAUUAAGUAUAUAUCUACAAUGCAUAUGAAUUAGAACACCCCACACCUAAAGUCUAAUUGCUUAAAACAGAUGAGGAAUAGGUUAGUUAUGUUUUGAGAGUAGUGAACUAAGGCCGUUACCAACAGUUGCCUCAUUGCCGCAGACUCCGUGCAAAGAAAUCUACACCUCGCUAGUCAUCCUCUCCCAACAUCUCAACAGCAAGUGCAAGUUAUGGUAUUUUCUGUUCUGAGGGGGAUGUCUGUGGCUCUACUCGGCUGACUAGAAAAUGUGGUAAGUAGUUCUUUAAAAUAUACUGUCUUGCAUUUCUCUGGGAUACAAAGAGUUACAUGUACUAAAGCUGCUAUCAUACUCACCUCUAUUUUUUUUGUCUAACUCUUUCAGGUGUUAAAGUGAAGUGGUAUUGUUGAUAUAGGACUUCAAUUAUUGGAAUAUUCAUGUGUGGGACUAAAAAUGUUUUAUUCUCUUGAUAAAAAAACAAUGUAUCUUCUCUUUUAACUACUGUGACUGUGUGUUCAUGAGUGUCCCGCACACAUGAUGCCACACACUCUGGAGCCCUGCAAGAGACACCUCAGCGAGUGUCUGUGUGUGAGAGGUUGAAGAGGAGAGCACGGACAGGUUAUUAAAGGGAAGACCACUUCAGUUUGCAGUGACGGUGUGUUGUUCGGCAUUAUCUUCCAGCCGGUCUUCAGCUCAAGUGUUUGCCUUGUUGUGGCCGCUGCCGCCACAAUGUUAGUGUUUGUUUUGUGCUUGAGGCUGAAGUUUGGUGUGGACUUUUGUGGCUAGCUCAGUGAUGUGUUUGUUUACUGAUAGUGUGUACUUGAGGCAGUUCAUUUUAAUACUAAAAUUUUUUGAAAAAAUAAUAUUCUAAUUCAUGUAUUUACCUAGUUGUAGUAGACAUGACCUGACCUACACUCAUGUGGUCCUGUCUCCAUAAAUCAAGUUUCUGUGUUCAGACGUGACAAGGCGGACACGAGCAGGACCUGAGACAGUUGAGUGUCCGGUGCUGGCGUAAAAAAUGGUACAUUUCUAUUUUUUAUGGUAACUCAGAUUUUACUCAACAAUAUAUUUACAUGCAUGGAAUGAGGCAAUGAUAACUUUGUCAGCAAAGACUCAAACUCCUGACUUUAUCUUGUUAACCGCCAUGUGCCAGCACAGGACACUUCUGGUGUGCCGAGGAUUUUUGUUUCCUCUUGAGCAUCAUAAAAGAUCCUGUAACUAUUUGUACGUGUCUCCGUCUUGCUGUGCACUGCUUGGUGUGUGUGUGUGUGUGUGUGUGUGUGUCAGUGGCUGCCGCCCCCCCCACGGCUCCUCCCUCAGCCGCCCAGCAGGCAGGCAAGCCGUGCCAGCGCCCCCUCAGCAGCUCUCUGAGUCUUGUUCCCAAGUUAAGCAACAGAAAAGUCAUCCCAUCAUGUGCAGACUGUAGCAAGCAUAACAAAUUGCAGUAGAAUAUGACUGAAUGGAGUGAAUAUUGGUCAUACUAAAUAUUCUUAAGGUGAAAUCUUGUUGCCACAAGUGGCUUGUUCUCACCCUCAUCAACAGUGGCUGAGACCAUGCAUGAACAUGUGCAAGUGUUCCACACCUCAACAAGGCAAAAGUGUCACAGACAGUCAGGUUCAGGCAUCACCACCGGGACGUUCUCAGUGAUCACAUCACACGUGACAGAGGAAGAGCAAGGCAUGGGCUGCACACCUCUGUGUGCGCUGCCGUCACAACACAAUUAUUACUCUCCAAAAGUUACAGCUUUAAUCUCUUUGUGACUUGUUUGCAUUUCACUGAAAACUAUCAAUAUUUUCCUUGUCAAGGUGUGAAACCAUUCGUGCAGAACUCAUAAAUGAGGAAUCCAAAAAUAUAAGUAGGAAAGUAAAUGUAUCAUUUACAGCUGAAAGCAAGUAUCCAUAACUGAAGACAAGUAAAACAAAAUACUGUGAGUAGCAGAAAAAGCAAUAAAUUUUUCAUGGACAGCAAUGCUGUCACUUGUUCUUUGAUGCUUUGAGAAGUAUUAAUGAAAAGUUCAGCAAAAUGUGGAAUUGUUCUACUUUGUUGUUGUUGUUUCAUGUGUCAGAAUGAGGAUCUCCAAAUGAUGAGUCUUCCAUCAACUCAGAAUGUUCAUCCUCUGAGAAGUGAUGAGUCCAAGUGUGUGUGUGUGUGGCUCCUUUCAUUAGUACAACCUCUCCGUGCUGCCGGGGCCUGAGGCACACACCCUUGGGGCACCCCGGCCUGGGGCAACACUGCCCCAGCAGCAGGUGUGUGCCCCGCCUGGCAGCCAGACAGCCGCUGCCCUCCACCCCAGGCAGCAGACAGGAAGAUUAACGGAAGACUUGUCCGGCCAAGAUGACCUGACCAGCACGAGUCUCAGUGCUCUAAGGGCAUGAUGCACUAUGCAUUUGGCAUAUGCAGACCAUACAUGCACAGAGAAUGGGAAACACACACAUGAUACAUGACUCUUCACGUCAGUGCAGCCAAUCCUUCAUCAUGAGUAAAACAGUCUGGCCAAAUGAACCCCAUGGCAACAUUCCUUCAGUGUCCAAUGUUAGUACCAAAUUCCUUGACUUAAUAUCACAAGAGGACUGCCCACACACCCUCACAAGAGUGCAAGACUUGCAGUGAGGCAGCUGUCGGGAGGCGAUGACUAGUGGAGGCGUGUGCUACUAGUGAUGCUGGUGGUGGCCUGCCAUGGCUAGGGUAAGGAAGCAAGACUCGGUGAAGUUGUUGAGGAAAACCUAACUAUCUGUGGAAGCUACAUGAAAACCUUUUGUGUCAAGUCAGGAAUUCAUUGUGCAGUGGACCAGCUCAAUCACUUUCACUCUGAAAAGUCAAUUGCAACUUAAUAAUUUGGUACAUUCAUGACAAACUCCUAGGGGACAAUGUGGUGACUCUACGCUGACUCUUCCCGAGCCUCUCAUGACUCUUCUACACAGCAGUGGUGCCUGACAUUCCAAGGCCACCCACGCCUACACUGCAGCGGCACACCCUCGUUGCAGGGCAAGGAGUGCCGGCCUGCAGGCAGCCCCGGGGGGUGGGGGAGGCGGCACAUCACCACGCAAGCAUGAGCACUACCCUCGUGAAGACAAAAUUCCAGGACUCUCCGAGGUGUCUUAGUCUCAGCUAAGCAAAAUUUAGUAAAGAAAAAGCAUCCAAUUUUUUUUUACUUUAACAUACACAUAAAAUGAACUGCAGUUGAAGGUUUGAUUAUGCUACUGUUUUUUGCUGUGCCUUAUGAUGAAUGACUAAUCAAAAUGUUGAGGAAAAAUAUAUUUGUAUGUAAAAGCUCUCUCUAGCAGUCUGUCAUGUUCAUCUGACAACAUGCAAUGUGCUCCUUCACACAAACACCUAUUUAUAGUAGUCCGUAGCCAAGCUGAACACCAAGGAUUAACCUUCUACUGAAGCUUUAGGAUGAGGCGAGGGACA
Eriocheir sinensis (Chinese mitten crab) is the source of this 10429-nucleotide long non-coding RNA. RefSeq lists it as uncharacterized. The record is from RefSeq and is a predicted model, not a curated record. The transcript has 3 exons. NCBI's taxonomy places the organism in Eukaryota, Metazoa, Arthropoda, Malacostraca, Decapoda, Varunidae.